RNAcentral lists this ribosomal RNA (518 nucleotides) under Ascomycota sp. E8009h. RNAcentral describes it as "eukaryotic LSU rRNA". The stretch from base 160 to 313 matches the Rfam family "5.8S ribosomal RNA". Lineage: Eukaryota; Fungi; Ascomycota. The record is from RNAcentral.
ACCUGCGGAAGGAUCAUUACUGUGGGUCUUCUUCGAAGCCCGCGAGAUAGCACCCUUUGCCUUUUGAGUACCUCUUGUUUCCUCGGCAGGCCCGCCUGCCACGGGGACCCAACCAACCCUUUGCAGUUGUACGAAACGUCUGAACACUAUAAUAGUAACAACUUUCAACAAUGGAUCUCUUGGUUCUGGCAUCGAUGAAGAACGCAGCGAAAUGCGAUAAGUAGUGUGAAUUGCAGAAUUCAGUGAAUCAUCGAAUCUUUGAACGCACAUUGCGCUCUGUGGUAUUCCACAGAGCAUGCCUGUUCGAGCGUCAUUCAAACCCUCAAGCUCUGCUUGGUGUUGGGUGCUGUCCCGCCUGCGCGCGCGGACUCGCCUGAAACGUAUUGGCAGCCAGGUGCCUUGGCUUGGAGCGCAGCAGAAUCAGCGCGCCGGCCAGGGGCCGCGGCGUCCACAAGCCUGUCUACCACGCUUGACCUCGGAUCAGGUAGGGAUACCCGCUGAACUUAAGCAUAUCAAUA